Molecule: unclassified non-coding RNA, 543 nt
Filed under: uncultured Chromatiales bacterium
Lineage: Bacteria; Pseudomonadati; Pseudomonadota; Gammaproteobacteria; Chromatiales
Description: partial 16S-23S ribosomal RNA intergenic spacer
Rfam family: tRNA (bases 75-148)
Source: RNAcentral
CCUCCUUUAAAGAAACCGGAAGACGGCGUGAAAGCGCCCGCACAAUCUGCCUAAUCGCCGCAAAGAUAGACCGCGGGUCUGUAGCUCAGUUGGUUAGAGCGCACCCCUGAUAAGGGUGAGGUCGGAAGUUCAAAUCUUCCCAGACCCACCACCUUUAAGCAUGUAGGAGCAAAAAGGUAACUAGGGGCCAUAGCUCAGAUGGGAGAGCACCUGCUUUGCAAGCAGGGGGUCGGCGGUUCGAUCCCGCCUGGCUCCACCAGGCGCUAAACCACGGCGGCAAUUGACCGCCGCGGUUUAUCUCCUGGCCGAGACGCCACGGGACGUUCUUUUACAAUUUAGGUAGUAGUGAUGUACGACGGUGAAGUCGGGACAGCGUUUGACGUCCUGACUUUACUGGGUAUGCCUGCAUUUAUUAUGGUAGUAGUUGAGACCCCAUGAAGAGCAGUCUUUUGGGGGUUAUAUGAUCAAGCGACUAAGCGCGCAUGGUGGAUGCCUUGGCGGCAAAAGCGAUGAAGGACGUUGUACCCUGCGAUAGCUUCGGGA